UUUAAUUAAGUCUUUCCACUUUUCUGUGGAAAGACUUAUUGUAUUUGUUCUGAUUAUUAUUAUUAUUAUUAAGUCUUUCCACUUUUCUGUGGAAAGACUUAUUGUUUUUGUUCUGAUUAUUAUUAUUAUUAUUAUUAUUAUUUUUUUUUUUUUUCCGCCAAAUUUUGUUCUUGCGAUAAAUGUUUGUUUCGCAAUAUGUCGCUUAAAUAUUUCUCAUAUUGUAUCGUAUAGUUUAUGCGCUUUUAAAUUUCACCCUGCUAAGCCAAACCAUUUUCUUUGUAAGAGUUAUCUCCCUAUUCACUGUUUAUCUUCAGAGCGCAUCUCCUUCGUAACAAAAAAAGAUAUCAAC
This 349-nucleotide long non-coding RNA is filed under the name Mytilus galloprovincialis (Mediterranean mussel). Lineage: Eukaryota; Metazoa; Mollusca; Bivalvia; Mytilida; Mytilidae. The record is from RNAcentral.